Long non-coding RNA from Suricata suricatta (meerkat), 497 nucleotides. RefSeq lists it as uncharacterized. NCBI's taxonomy places the organism in Eukaryota, Metazoa, Chordata, Mammalia, Carnivora, Herpestidae. The record is from RefSeq and is a predicted model, not a curated record. The transcript has 2 exons.
UGACUAGCCAUCCCCAAGCUUCUCACCCAGUGGCGUCCUUUAAUUACACUGGCACUUCUUUUGAAGGGAUAUCUGCCACCCAAAGUGGCCUUCUCACUUCUGGAAGGAGGCCAGAAAGCUUCAGUCUUUGCUGCCAUGUUAGGGACUUGAGUUUAUCUCAGGAGUGUUUUGGAGAGCGGCUUUUCCAGCAGCAUGUGGCUCAAUUGCCUGGGGAGGAAGUAGCAGACCCUUCCCAUCUUCAGCAAAACUGAGGUCUUUGUUGUGGAUUCAGUGGCCUCGUCUUGGCUCCAAGAGGGAGAUGAGACAGAGGAACUUCUAUCAAGAAACACACUGAACACCUCAGGCUUUCAUGCCCCAAAGGUCACCAGGCCUCUGCCAGGAUCCAAGCAUUCUUUUUGCCACCCCACAAAGCUCAUCUAUUUUACACUCUUGCCAAAGGCCAGUCCUUUAGGGAUUUAAAACUUUGGUCCUUCUAUUAAAUGCUAUUAUGUAUCUGA